GAUGAACGCUAGCGGGAGGCCUAACACAUGCAAGCCGAGCGGUAUUGUUUCUUCGGAAAUGAGAGAGCGGCGUACGGGUGCGGAACACGUGUGCAACCUGCCUUUAUCUGGGGGAUAGCCUUUCGAAAGGAAGAUUAAUACUCCAUAACAUAUUGAUUGGCAUCAAUUAAUAUUGAAAGCUCCGGCGGAUAGAGAUGGGCACGCGCAAGAUUAGCUAGUUGGUGAGGUAACGGCUCACCAAGGCGAUGAUCUUUAGGGGGCCUGAGAGGGUGAUCCCCCACACUGGUACUGAGACACGGACCAGACUCCUACGGGAGGCAGCAGUGAGGGAUAUUGGUCAAUGGGUGCAAGCCUGAACCAGCCAUCCCGCGUGAAGGACGACUGCCCUAUGGGUUGUAAACUUCUUUUGUAUAGGGAUAAACCUACCCUCGUGAGGGUAGCUGAAGGUACUAUACGAAUAAGCACCGGCUAACUCCGUGCCAGCAGACGCGGUAAUACGGAGGGUGCAAGCGUUAUCCGGAUUUAUUGGGUUUAAAGGGUCCGUAGGCGGACUUAUAAGUCAGUGGUGAAAGCCUGUCGCUUAACGAUAGAACUGCCAUUGAUACUGUAAGUCUUAAGUAUAUUUGAGGUAGCUGGAAUAAGUAGUGUAGCGGUGAAAUGCAUAGAUAUUACUUAGAACACCAAUUGCGAAGGCAGGUUACCAAGAUAUAACUGACGCUGAGGGACGAAAGCGUGGGGAGCGAACAGGAUUAGAUACCCUGGUAGUCCACGCCGUAAACGAUGCUAACUCGUUUUUGGGCUUUAGGGUUCAGAGACCAAGCGAAAGUGAUAAGUUAGCCACCUGGGGAGUACGCUCGCAAGAGUGAAACUCAAAGGAAUUGACGGGGGCCCGCACAAGCGGUGGAUUAUGUGGUUUAAUUCGAUGAUACGCGAGGAACCUUACCAAGACUUAAAUGGGAAUUGACAGCUUUAGAAAUAGAGCUUUCUUCGGACAAUUUUCAAGGUGCUGCAUGGUUGUCGUCAGCUCGUGCCGUGAGGUGUUAGGUUAAGUCCUGCAACGAGCGCAACCCCUGUCACUAGUUGCCAUCAUUCAGUUGGGGACUCUAGUGAGACUGCCUACGCAAGUAGAGAGGAAGGUGGGGAUGACGUCAAAUCAUCACGGCCCUUACGUCUUGGGCCACACACGUAAUACAAUGGCCGGUACGGAGGGCAGCUACACAGCGAUGUGAUGCAAAUCUCGAAAGCCGGUCUCAGUUCGGAUUGGAGUCUGCAACUCGACUCUAUGAAGCUGGAAUCGCUAGUAAUCGCGCAUCAGCCAUGGCGCGGUGAAUACGUUCCCGGGCCU
This 1345-nucleotide ribosomal RNA is filed under the name uncultured bacterium. RNAcentral describes it as "bacterial SSU rRNA". It matches the Rfam family "Bacterial small subunit ribosomal RNA", at positions 28 to 1381 of the family's 1533-position model. The record is from RNAcentral.